This 417-nucleotide ribosomal RNA is filed under the name uncultured bacterium. Its description in RNAcentral is "bacterial SSU rRNA". It matches the Rfam family "Bacterial small subunit ribosomal RNA", at positions 385 to 793 of the family's 1533-position model. The record is from RNAcentral.
GAUGCAGCCAUGCCGCGUGUGUGAAGAAGGACCUCGGGUUGUAAAGCACUUUCAGUAGGGAGGAAGGUAGUGUAGUUAACACCUGCAUUAUUUGACGUUACCUACAGAAGAAGCACCGGCUAACUCCGUGCCAGCAGCCGCGGUAAUACGGAGGGUGCGAGCGUUAAUCGGAAUUACUGGGCGUAAAGCGCAUGCAGGCGGCCUGUUAAGUCAGAUGUGAAAGCCCGGGGCUUAACCUCGGAAUUGCAUUUGAAACUGGCAGGCUAGAGUCUUGUAGAGGGGGGUAGGAAUUUCAGGUGUAGCGGUGAAAUGCGUAGAGAUCUGAAGGAAUACCAGUGGCGAAGGCGGCCCCCUGGACAAAGACUGACGCUCAGAUGCGAAAGCGUGGGGAGCAAACAGGAUUAGAUACCCUGGUAG